AGAAAUGAAGUCCAAAAGAGUCAACUGAAAGAGAAAUUGCAUAGCUUUCAUGGUGAUGAUGUUGGUGAGAACGCCUGAAAGUACAAAUGGAGAGGAAAAUGUAACAUUGUGAGUAACGAUAGAGCCAAGGGGAGAUUAUCUAGGGGCAAAACAAUGUGAUGAAAGAAUGAAGGAGAAGGGAACUGGGAAGUAGAAUUUCUCAUAGAGGAAAGAAACUUGACAGGACUAGAACAGAGCUAUCAUCAUCCACGUACAGAACAUAGACAGGUAAAAAAUUGAACGCUUCCAAAAGUGAGAAGACAUAGAA
This 307-nucleotide unclassified non-coding RNA is filed under the name Hevea brasiliensis (rubber tree). The record is from RNAcentral. Lineage: Eukaryota; Viridiplantae; Streptophyta; Magnoliopsida; Malpighiales; Euphorbiaceae.